UACGUAGGUGGCAAGCGUUGUCCGGAUUUACUGGGCGUAAAGGGAGCGUAGGCGGACUUUUAAGUGAGAUGUGAAAUACUCGGGCUCAACCUGAGGGCUGCAUUUCAAACUGGAAGUCUAGAGUGCAGGAGAGGAGAGUGGAAUUCCUAGUGUAGCGGUGAAAUGCGUAGAGAUUAGGAAGAACACCAGUGGCGAAGGCGACUCUCUGGACUGUAACUGACGCUGAGGCUCGAAAGCGUGGGGAGCAAACAGG
This 253-nucleotide ribosomal RNA is filed under the name uncultured bacterium. Its description in RNAcentral is "partial 16S ribosomal RNA". It matches the Rfam family "Bacterial small subunit ribosomal RNA", at positions 524 to 776 of the family's 1533-position model. The record is from RNAcentral.